Molecule: ribosomal RNA, 255 nt
Filed under: uncultured marine eukaryote
Lineage: Eukaryota
Description: partial 18S ribosomal RNA
Rfam family: Eukaryotic small subunit ribosomal RNA
Source: RNAcentral
UCAACGCGGGGAACCCUACCAGACACGGACACCGGAAGGAUUGACAGAUUGAGAGCUCUUUCUCGAUUCGUUGGGUGGUGGUGCAUGGACAUUCUUAGUUGGUGGAGCGAUUUGUCUGGUUAAUUCCAAUAACGAACGAGAGACUGGCCUACUAACUAGUCUUUGGGUUGUCUUGUACCGGCUUCGGUCAGUCGCCCGUCGCAACUUCCUCUUAGAGGGAUCCGCAUCAUCUAGACGCAAGAGACUGAGCAAUAA